Molecule: long non-coding RNA, 1664 nt
Filed under: Monodelphis domestica (gray short-tailed opossum)
Lineage: Eukaryota; Metazoa; Chordata; Mammalia; Didelphimorphia; Didelphidae
Description: lncRNA (ENSMODG00000044452.1)
Source: RNAcentral
ACAACCACAGGAAAAAAUGUCACUUCUAUUUUCAGAAAAGUAAACCAAGGCAUGUAGAGAUUAAAACAGCUUGUAUAAGUCCAUAGAAAUUGGAGUAGGGAUCAGAUUGGCCUCCAGGUCCAGGAAUCUUAAGGUUGAGAGCAAAAAGGAAACUAAGAAAUUGUUAAGCUCAUUUUUCUCACUUUAAGAUCGAAGAGACCUUGGCCCAAGAGUUCAGAGGACUUACUUGAAGUCAAACAACUUAUAAGGGAAGCUAACAGAGACAACAAGAGGGGAGGAAUCAUACCCCUCCUCUUACAUUUGCACAUAGUAAAAGGGGAGCCCUUUUCAGAGGUCAAUGGGCAGUUAUAUUCCCCAUAAAGGAUAUGAGAGUUUGGGGGCACACAUUGGCAUGGGGCAAGGCCAGCAGAGACUUGAGCUCAGCUGGAGUCUUGAAGAGCGGUCAGGGCGAGGCCAUGGGGUCAAGGGACUGGCCCAGGGUCACCCAGCUGGGAAGUGGCUGAGGCCGGACUGGAACCCAGGACCUCCUGUGUCUAAGUCUGGCUCUCCAUCCACUGAGCUGCCCAGCUGUCCCCUUGAAGCUCUUCUGACCUCCACUCGUUCCCUUCUCACGUCUGAGGCUCCCCUUCCCCGAUGGGUCUUGUGUGCAGCUCCUGGGACGUGAUGCAUCGUCCGCAUGGGUUCUCUGGGUUCGAGGCUCCCCUCUUCCUGAGCCUUCGAAUGGUCCCCCGAUGAGCCAUGCGGCCAUGUUCUGCACCCCCAGAAGUUCCUACGCAGGCCAAGCGCCGGAGGCCUGGACUUGACCGUGUUGGAAGCAGAGACGAAUCCCCGGACGUGGAGCAGAAUCAAUAGAGAAGAGACGGAGAGCGGAACUCUCGAAUACAGAACCCAGUAAGGAUGGUGCCAACUGGGAAAGGCCUUUGUUCACCGGAUGUUGAUGCUAGAAGGGCCUUACCAGGUGCGACAGUGAGGGGAGGGUCUGCAGAAUGCAGGGAGGGCCAGCUGUGCCCUGUGCCAGCCCCCAGGAGCUGCCCGCGUCACCCCAGGGCACAGGAGCAGCCCCAGGACCUAAUCCAGGACCCACCUUCUUCUGGGCCAAUCCACAGGGCAGUGCGUGUGCUGCCACACAGCAUGCCGUAGACAGAUGUACCCGUACCCGGCAUCCACAGACACGGACUGGGCAGCGGGGGCAGUCCUGCGGCAGGCCGGACAGAAGGGCCCCGAGACGCUCCCCAGGUUCCAGCCCCGCUGAGCGAAGCUAAUUGCCGAUUGGACGGCCGCCCCUGGCCGAGUCUGUAAAAAUCAUUUCCCGAAUAUUUACCCCAGCGAGCGAGCGAGCGAGGAGCGCGCCGUUAUUGCUUCUCCAGUUGUGAAACGCGCUUCGCACUUUAUAAUCCUCUAUGUGCUGCUCGCGCCGCUGGCUCGCCCGCUCGCCGGCCUCGAAGGCUGACAACUUUUACAAAGUGUCCCUCCUGGAAAACAUCUGGCCGGGCUCCAGGAUGGCAUUCCAGAUGUUAUGGCUUUAGCAGUCACACCGUGGACGGCAGGCCGGCCGGCCGAUGGUCCCCGAAUCCGGGCGGGUGGGGGCGGGUCCCCUUCGGAGGGUCUCCCAGACAGAACACCAGCCUUGCCCCGGGGCUUGGGGAGGCGCAUCCGCCCAGCAC